Molecule: unclassified non-coding RNA, 240 nt
Filed under: soil metagenome
Description: partial contains 5.8S ribosomal RNA, internal transcribed spacer 2, and large subunit ribosomal RNA
Source: RNAcentral
AAGACUAUAGACCUGCGGAGUACCUGCGGAAGGAUCAUUACCAAAAGAGUGAGAAAUCACUCUUCUUACCUGCUCGGUGGCCCUUCGGGUCGCUGACUGGUCAACCCUUUGUGAACCAAAAAACCUUUUCGCUUCGGCAGCUGGGCCUCACCGCCUGUCAGCCUGCCGCUAGCACCCAACCAAAAAACCUGUUGUCAAAACAUUUGUCUGAUAACCAAAAUUUUCGAAUGAAAAUCAAAA